Molecule: long non-coding RNA, 396 nt
Organism: Danaus plexippus (monarch butterfly)
Lineage: Eukaryota; Metazoa; Arthropoda; Insecta; Lepidoptera; Nymphalidae
Exons: 2
Source: RefSeq, a predicted model, not a curated record
UAUGUGAUCCAACCUCUUAAAAUAUUAAAUAAUUAUUUCAAUCACAUUUAUACUAAAUAUAUUCAGGGUUUUUUUUAUUGUCAAACUUCGAACUGUCAAUGAAAUACUUAACGAUAAUUUUAAUCUUACAAUUUUUAUUCUUGGUAUUAACAAUAGUAACUUGAGGAUGCAAGAAGUAAUCGCCGGUACCAAUCGUUUCAAGAGGCUCAUUCAAUUACCACAAGAACGCUGAAAUCUGAAGAAUAGGGAAUCGAAGAUUAUGUGAAUAAAUUUUUGUAUUCCCUUUCUACCAUAAUGAUUAGAUAGACGACAGUUAGACAAUUAAGCGGUUGAGAUGGAAAUUAUGAAGCCAAUUGUCACAAUUCUAAUGACUAAAUAAACCAAUUUGUGCUACUA